GUGGGGAAUCUUGCGCAAUGGGCGAAAGCCUGACGCAGCCAUGCCGCGUGAAUGAUGAAGGUCUUAGGAUUGUAAAAUUCUUUCACCGGGGACGAUAAUGACGGUACCCGGAGAAGAAGCUCCGGCUAACUUCGUGCCAGCAGCCGCGGUAAUACGAAGGGGGCUAGCGUUGCUCGGAAUUACUGGGCGUAAAGGGCGCGUAGGCGGACAGCUUAGUCAGAGGUGAAAGCCCAGGGCUCAACCUUGGAAUUGCCUUGGAUACUGGCUGUCUUGAGUUUGGGAGAGGUGAGUGGAACUCCGAGUGUAGAGGUGAAAUUCGUAGAUAUUCGGAAGAACACCAGUGGCGAAGGCGACUCACUGGCCCAAUACUGACGCUGAGGCGCGAAAGCGUGGGGAGCAAACAGGAUUAGAAACCCGAGUAGUCC
RNAcentral lists this ribosomal RNA (425 nucleotides) under uncultured bacterium. RNAcentral describes it as "partial 16S ribosomal RNA". It matches the Rfam family "Bacterial small subunit ribosomal RNA", at positions 354 to 796 of the family's 1533-position model. The record is from RNAcentral.